GCAAGGUGUGAUGCAGGUGCAGAUGCAACUUUGAUUACAGGUGUUCUGGCAACUUAGAAAGCUCAGUGUCUAUGUUUGCUUGCUUUCAAAUUGGCAGGUACAACCAAACUAUUGUGCAAGGAGGCCUCUGUUUCAAGGCCAGAUGUGAUGUGCUUUCUCAUAACGGUGAGUCUGUUUUUGGAGGUCACAUGGCAAGCCUGUAAAUUAAAAAUAUAUUUUUGAAAUAAAAAGUGUCAACAGAGAGAUUUCCAGUGCAACCCUAUGCAUGUCUACUCAGGAGUAAACCCACCUGGGUUCAAAGGGACUUAUCCCCAGCUAAGUGUGUGUAGGAUUGUAGCCUUUAUGAUGCAUCAGACUUGGUCUAAAUCUGCUUUUAAGGGGACUUAAAAAUACUUGAGUAAAUAUAGAAUGCAAAGAUUUUUAAUAAACUUGAGGCAUGAGCCAUCCAAAGGUAAGUAAGCACUUUUGCAUCUCAUUCGCUUCAGUGAGAGAAAGUCAAGAAGGUGUUUAAUUCUUCCAUGGACACACACUGCUUACAUUGGUCUGGAUUGUGCCCUUGCAUUUUUCAAAUAAUUACUGACAAGCCCAGGAAGUCCCCAAGAAUGGUGCCAUUUAGUCACGAUGGAGAAUGAUUGGCUUUUUAAAAAGCAGGGUAAAGGGAGGUUAACUGUAAGCGUUACAGCAAAUGUUCACUUAUAGCCCUUGCCAUAAAACUAAUUAACAACACCAUCUAAUAAUAAAUCAGGUUUUAAAAUCCUGAGUCCUAGUGUGAUCUUCCCGGAGCAUCCCUGUGAUCCAUCAUUGGCUCCAGGCGGAGGACAAUUGACCUUUCGAGAGACGAAGAGAUGAGGCAAUCAGGGAUGACUAUGACAGGAGCGCAGGAAACGGAAUCUGAAGCAGAAAAUUGCUCUCACCAUAUUACUAACACAUCUAAUUUGAGGACAUCCUGGCACAAUCAAAUUCACACAGAGAGACAUGCAGGAAGGGGGUAGAAAACUGAGGAAGAUCUGGUUGUUUGCGGGAAGACUUCCUGGGGCUCUGUGUGUGUGAGAGAGAGAAAUGGACCCACAGGUCUUGGGAGGGGCCAGACCUGGUGAUUAAGGAUUUGGUAUUUUAUAGUGCCCCAAACUCCACCCUGGGAGCCAGCAAGGCAGCGGUCCUGUUGGUUAUGUGUAUCUGCCUGUCUGUCACCCUGGCAACAAGGCCUAGCUCUAACCUUUUCCCCUCUCCUGCCUUCCUAGCUGAUAGCUAUUCAAUCAAACUUAAGUACCCAUAAAUACUUUGGAGGGAACUAGUCGGAUUACUCCAGGAAUGUAUGUGUAUAAUUUUAUCCUUCCAGGCCUAACUGGUGGUUUAGCACUUGUGAUGCUUAAUUUUAAGCAAACCUUCAUUAGCAAAGAGAAUGGAACCCUAAUUAUUUGGGCACAAGCUAGCAGUUCGAAAGCACAUCAAAGUGCAAGUAGAUAAAUAGGUACCGCUCCAGCGGGAAGGUAAAGGCAUUUCCGUGCGCUGCUCUGGUUCGCCAGAAGCGGCUUAGUCAUGCUGGACACAUGGCCUGGAAGCUGUACGCUGGCUCCCUCGGCCAAUAAAGCAAGAUGAGCGCCGCAACCCCAGAGUCGUCCGCGACUGGACCUAAUGGUCACGUCCCUGCACCUUUACCUUUAUACAAAUGGAAGACUGGGGAAAACUAUGGAAAGUAAAUUUAAAAUUUACUAAUUGUAUAAUUCUGAAAGAGAAUUAUAUGAAAAUGAUAUAUCGAUGGUAUAUAAUUGCUAAAAUGUAUAGAACAAGUUCUAAUAAGUGCUGGAAGUGCAAAGAGAAAGAAGGCACUUUCAGGAUGAGAACAAAAAUUGCACGCCGGCAGCACAGCAGCAGCGGGAGGCCCUAUUAGCUAAAGUGUACCUCAGGUUAAGAACAGUUUCAGGUUAAGUACGGACCUCCGGAAUGAAUUAAGUACUUAACCAGAGGUACCACUGUACAAAACAAUGGUACUGUACAGGUAAAGCAUGGAAUACAGAGUGAAUUGAAACACAGAGCUGGGUAACAGGUGUGUGGGAGAAAUACUAACCAAGGAACAAGCUGGGAGCAUAAUUAUGAGACCAGGUUGAUAAAAUAACCCAACACUGCUUGGCCCCAGAAGUUGUAUGUGAACUACAAUGGUACCUCGGGUUACAGACCCUUCAGGUUACAGACUCUGCUAACCCAGAAAUAUUACCUCGGGUUAAGAACUUUACUUCAGGAUGAGAACAGAAAUCGCACAGUGGCGGCAGCGGGAGGCCCCAUUAGCUAAAGUGGUACCUCAAGGUUAAGAACAGUUUCAGGUUAAGAACAGACCUCCAGAACGAAUUAAGUUCUUAACCCGAGGUACCACUGUAGUAUUCUGCUGCAGGUGAGGAGAUGUAAUACACUGUUAGGCAUGUUAAGACUGGAAUUGUGGUUCCCCAGUGACCUUUGAUGGCCUGAGACUUGCUUUUAAAAGUGUAGCAUAUUUUAUGGAGAAGCGCUGGAGCUGAUUCACAACCUGCACAGGAAACCCCAGAUCUGCCACAGAGGCUGGAGACUGAUCAUAGUUAAGAGAGAGAGAGAGAGAGAGAAGGAGAGCACUACAGUUCGGAGCAUCAUUAACAAACUACAGAGGCAUCUGUCGUUAUGGUGCACACACAAUUAAGUUGCCUCAUCCUCACUGUUUUCGGAUUUCUCAAAAGGUCUUACCCAUUCUGUUUCCGAAAGGUGAGCGUGGGAUUAGUAUUCACACCACAAACACAGGUACGCCUUCCAAGCCACCUUCAACUUUCAUCUCUUCCAAGCAGUUCUGGCUCCCUGGUGACUGUUACCCGUGUGAUAACCCUGAUUUGUCGUAAUCACAUUGUGCAAUUGUGGGUGUACUCUAUAUAUAUAUACAGUGGUACCGCAGGUUACAUAUGCUUCAGGUUACAUACGCUUCAGGUUACAGGUUACAGACUCCGCUAACCCAGAAAUAGUGCUUCAGGUUAAGAACUUUGCUUCAGGAUGAGAACAGAAAUCGGGCUCUGGUGGCGCGGCGGCAGCAGGAGGCCCCAUUAGCUAAAGUGGUGCUUCAGGUUAAGAACAGUUUCAGGUUAAGAACGGACCUCCGGAACGAAUUAAGUACUUAACCCGAGGUACCACUAUAUAUGUGUGUGUGUGUGUGUGUGUGUGUGUGUGUGUGUAGUGAAGAUCUUAUUUUUCACAUUGUAACAUUUAUUCUGAAUCGUUCUUGUGGCCUUUUCUUGAACUGUUUCAAAUAUUUCCAUUCUUGGCAUCCCUCCGCCCCCAUUUUCCUUUUAUAUUGCUCAGGAAGUCAGAGUUGCCAUCUGGCUAAUUUGAAAGCGAUUGUUUUUUAUGGCCUUACCAGUUGUUGGCUUGCAGGCUGUUUUGGAUGCUCAGGUUUGUUUAUUUUUCUAGGUUGUUUUUCUUCUCUCUGCGGGUGCCCAGAGAAAUCCUAAAAGCACAUGAAUGUUAAGGUCAGGAGGACAAGACAGUUAAAGGGGACCACACACCAUCUUUUCUCUCUAACCCUUUCCUUUUUGAAAACCCAGCUACAAACAGACAAUAAUAAAACAUUGUGAUAGGCAAAUCCCUGAAAAUGAGUCUCACUGGUGCCAACACACGACUAUUUAUUUUUGUGCUGCCUUAACAUCUCUGUCCUGUCUCCUAGAUCUAAUGUCUUCCCCCAAAUGAACAGAUAUAAAUGCAAAACCCAGACAAUCCUUAAUGAACAUAACACAGCAGCCGAUCACACAAUUAUUUAUUUAUUAUUACGUUUAUAACCUUCCUUUACUCCCCAAAAAUCAUCCAGUGGUGCAGAAGUCCCCAAAUUAACAGCAAAGUCCCCAAGUUAACUAUCCAAGUGGGCUUUCACCUGAAGGAAUUCCACAGCAAAAAAUGUAUUGGCUCUCGCAGUCAUCUGUCUUUUCUUAAGAUAACAGUAGGGAGCACAGAGUCUCCCCAGCAUAUCACAGGCCUAGUAGUUAAUAAGGUAGAAAACCUGUGUUUAGACUGUACUUUUUCAACUGCAGUUGGGUGUACCCCUCCCUCAUGAGGAAAAAAAAUAUUCUUAUGCACAGAAGACAAUACAGUGGUACCUCGGGUUAAGUACUUAAUUGGUUCCGGAGGUCUGUUCUUAACCUGAAACUGUUCUUAACCUGAAGCACCACUUUAGCUAAUGGGGCCUCCUGCUGCUGCCGCGCCGCCGGAGCUCGAUUCCUGUUCUCAUCCUGAAGCAAAGUUCUUAACCCGAGGUACUAUUUCUGGGUUAGCGGAGUCUGUAACCUGAAGCGUAUGUAACCUGAAGCGUAUGUAACCCGAGGUACCACUCUAGUGUCAGGGAGAUGGCUGGUAAGAAUCAUUCAGCAGAUACUGAGUUUUCUAUGUGGCGAAACAUCCAGUCACAUAAGCUGCAACAUGCAUUCUGAAGUGGCUGCGUCCACUUCAGCCCAUCUGGGUUAUUGAUUGAUUGAUCGAUAUGCUGCCCACCUGACUGGGUCGCCCCAACCACUCUAGGUGACUCCCAACAAAUUAAAACACAGUAAGAUUAAAAAACCUCCCUUUAAAGGGUUGCCUUCAGAUGUCUUCUAAAAAUCAGAUAGUAGUUAUUUCCGUAACAUCUGACAGGAAGAUGUUCCACAGGGUGGGCACGACUACUGAGAAUUCCCUCUGUCUGGUGCCCUGUGGACACCUAGUCCACAACAACGUUAUAGUCCAGAUAGAGGUUUACCACUGCUGGAAGUAGUAGGGCUUAGAGUACAAAGGGACUCUUAUCUCAGGGAUUCCGAGACUUGGUCUGGGAAACAGGCACUGGCUAAGCUUCUUGUUCCACUUGGGCUGCUAAUCAAAGUAGGGAAGUACCAGGCAUUUCCUGUGUGCUGUAGCUGUCCAUGCCCUACCUGGUCUGGGAAGUCAGGUGAUGCUGGAGGACCAUUCUCAUGGAUGUUCUUUCCUCUGAUCAGCCAGUUGCUAAGGGAGGUCACCUUGUGCUUUAGCCUGUGUCUUUACCCCCACUGUCUGCACCUUCUAAGGUACCUUCCUACAUUUAGCCUGAGGUGUAAUACAUUCCUCCAGUUAUUCUGGACCAGGAAGUAAACAAUCAACACUAGGAUUUUGAACUGGGCCCCUGGGUACCAAAUGGGAGUCUCUGCCUUGUGAUCAAAACAUCACCUGCACCUGUGUGCCUGGUCUUUGAAGGCCACCCUAUAAAAGCAUUGUGUGAUGGAUAUCACUGCUUGGGAGCAAACUGAAGAACUAGACUACCUAGUCAUGGAUGCUUUCGCUGAGAUCCCUGCAUUGCAGGGGAUUGGACAAGAUAAGCCGUGGGAUCCCUUCCAACUCUACCAUUCUAUGAUUCUAUGAUCUUAGACGGAGGACCGGCCUUGGGGCCAAGCCUGUAGACUCUGUUCUUCUGUUGUAAUGUAUGCUUGUCAUUGGAUCUGAACAGCUUUAUUCCUCAUGCUGUGAGUAGCCAUAAAAAUGAAGGACUGAAGCUCAUGAUGGCGGUACAUCCAUCAGCUUUAGAGAUGCAAAGAGGCAUUUCCGUGAGUAACCCAAUUAUCAGUUUAGAUCAUAUAAGCUGCUAUAUAUAAUUAGCAGCCACAGUCUUGGGCAUCGACUGCAGAUGGCCCGCAAUUGUUGCCUGAGCUCAUUGACAAUCAAAUUAUUUGCACUUCCAGAUUUCUGUUGAGGAAAGGUUCAAGUCACUCACCCACCCCCGUACAAAUGACGGCGGAAGCACUUUUCGUUCUGGCCUUCAUUGCUUUUGAUAUAUUAGACAAUGAAGCAGAAGCGAGACAUUUUAUAACCCAGUGUGAUGCUCUGGCUUCCAUCAUUUUCAGUGGUUAAUAUCUCCUUUUCCAGUCAAGACGCUGGAACUUCAGAAUACACUUCCUUAGGAGAUCGGUCUGGUUUCCUCCAGAUGUUGUUUGACUACAAGGACCAUCGUCCCUGAUCAUUGGCUGUGCUUGCUAGGGCUGAUGGGAGUCAGAGUCCAACAACACCUAGGCUACCCCUGGAGUAGAUGAUGGGGACGACGACAAUAUGCUGUGCCUGAGACGCAGAUCCACACCAUACAUUUGAAGUACUUCCUGUACACAUACCUUCCCCAAAGAGUUCUGAGAGCUGUAGUCUUCCCCUCACAGAGAUAAAAACUACAGCUCCCAGGAUUCUUUGAGGGAAAUCAUGUGUGCGUUGGAUGUGCUUUAAACACCGUAUUUACACGAAUCUAAUGUGCCAUCGAAUCUUAUGUGCACCUCAACUUUCAAAGCCUUGAAACCAAAAAUGUAUUUCCUAUGUUUUUCAAGCUUGCAGUCACAUCUAAUGCACUAUAAAAUAUAAUGUGCAUCCUAAUUUUCGUGACGUAAUUUGCCCAUAAAAUGUGCAUAUUACAUUCGAGUAAAUACGGUAUGUGGCGUGGAUCUGAUCGCAACAGUGUCGUAGUCAGUCAGAGGAGACAAUAUUCUGAGCUGGAUGGAUAUAUAGUCUAAGCUGGCAUGAGGGAGUUUCUUAUGACCCCUGGCGACCUGCCCCUCAUUGAGGGGUCCCCAGUGUCUGAGCAUGCUUAUGUGAUGUGUCUCUGAUAAAGAGUGCACACACACACACACACACACACACACACACACAGGUCCUUGCAGUGCAAGCCCUCCCACCAUAUCUUUCCUCCCUGUCAUAAUUCCAUUACAGAUGGAAAAAUAUGUUUUAAAGAGGUUUUAACGCUCCAAAACACCAACCAUUCCAAGUCUUAUUGACAAAGUGAUGUAGAGUUUCUGCACAAAUAAUCUGCAUGGAAAAGGCAAAAACCAAUUUAAGAGCGACUUGUGAGCAUGAUUUAAAUUUAACGUGACUUGUGAAGAAAUUGUAAAACAGAAGGGCUGCAAUUUAUCCCCCCACAACACACCCCCGCCCUCUUUUUAAUUCUCUUCCUUGCAUAAUUUCCCCCUUUGCUUUCCCAGACAGACUUCAUUAGCAUCUCCCUCAAUUACUAUCGGUGUACCCUGCAGAGAUGCUAUUAACAAUCCCGGCUUGCUUGGGGACUUGAGUUUUAUUUAACAGUUGCUUCCGUAGUCACAGGAGAAUUUCGCUAGGCUGCUCAAUGUCUUAGAGGGCUUUGCUGGUGGUUGUGAUAAUGCGAGUCUCGAAUAAUUCAGGCAGAUGAAAUCCAGAGGGCAUAGUCAUGACAACAACAACUACUACUACUUCCUGUGUGCAGAGGCCAAGGAACAGGCCCUAGGUGGAGAGAGGGGACUGAGGUUGCCAACCCAACUGUAAUGUGUGUAGAGGAUCUAACACAGUUUAGGAGUUGAAAGCCCCUUCACAUUUGCAAACUCAGCCAUCUUUCAACAGCUGCAAUAGAAGCACCAUCACGUUUCAAAUGGUGGACAGGCUGAGAUAGGAUGGAAGCUGAUCUUAGGCCAUCGAGUGAGUUCAAGGUUAAAGCGAGAUUUGAAUGGAUGGGGGCUCCCCCCCCCCAGCAUACUUGGCAACGCUACAGCAGUUCUCUUGGCGUGCAGAUAUUAAUUCAGAUCACAUUUCCAAAUGUAGGCUGAGGGCAAAAGAACCACGUCUAUCAAUUCUAGAGUGGCUCUGGAAUUUACAACCAGCCUCUAAUUUGACUGGAGCUGAAGCUGUAAAAUUGGAGCUGCACUUCCAGUGCUCAGAAAUAAAUUAUACCGAAUUUGGGGGGGGGGGAGCAGGAUGGUGCCCAAGUAAAUGCAUUCGGGCUGAGCUGCCAGUCAGCCGAGAUCCGAGCCCUUGACUGUGAAUCAGGUUGACAAUUACAAACGCCGUACAUUUCUCUGCCUUAAUUCAAGGGAUCUAUUGACAUUUCAUCAUACAAAUCUUUGCCAGCCUUGACAAUUCAUUUCCCCCGGAAUCCCUUCCUUGAUUGCCUCCCUGGCGGCAGCGAUAUAAUAGGCAGCUCUUUGGAUUAGCUGCGAAGGAAAUGAAUUGCCCUUAAGAGUAGCUUUCCGUCCCUUAUAGAGGGUUCCUUCAGGGCAAAUAAAAACCCCUCUUCCUGCUUUUUUAAGAGUUUGGGCAAAGCCAGGAAGAGUAUUUAGGGACAUAUGCUUAGGGUAGCAUAACCUGAAACAUUUAUCUGAUGAAAAUAGGGAUGUCCCAUUCCACAAUAUUUAAACCCCAUACAUCUUAAUGGGUUGCCCCAGCCACUCUGGGCAGCUUCCAACAUAAAUAAAAACAUAAUUAAAAAAAUUAAACAUUUAAAAAAACCCUUCCCUGUACAGGAUUGCCUUCGGACAGCUCGGGGGUUGGAUAACUCCAUACCCUCCAACAUUUCUCCAAUGAAAAUGUUGUUGUUGUUUAGUCGUUUAGUCGUGUCCGACUCUUCGUGACCCCCUGGACCAGAGCACGCCAGGCACUCCUGUCUUCCACUGCCUCCCACAGUUAGGUCAGACUCAUGCUGGUAGCUUCGAGAACACUGUCCAACCAUCUUGUUGUCCCUUCUCCUUGUGCCCUCCAUCUUUCCCAGCAUCAGGGUCUUUUCCAGGGAGUCUUCUCUUCUCGUGAGGUGGCCAAAGUACUGGAGCCUCAGCUUCACGAUCUGUCCUUCCAGUGAGCGCUCAGGGCUGAUUUCCUUCAGAAUGGAUGGGCUUGAUCUUGCAGUCCAUGGGACUCUCAAGAGUCUCCUCCAACACCAUAACUGGCAAGCCAUUCCAGUAUCGCUGCCAAGAAAACUCCAUGGACAAAGACAACAGGCCAAUGAAAAUAGGGACAUCCUAAGGAAAAGAGGGACAUUCUGGGAUCAAAUCAGAAACAGGGGUGACUUCUCUGAAUCAGGGACGUCCCUGGAAAAUAGGGACACUUUAGGGUCUGUGGUAGUUAAAGCCCCUUUUAUUGAUGGAAGCUGCUGCCCCCUGAUCUCUGUAGCUGGACCUUUUUUGUGGCACUUCAGCACUUUUGCAGACAAAGUAAAAAAAAGGCAUUUCCUUUGCACAAAUUACCGCCUGAACUCCAAAGACUGCUAACCUUCUGCUUCCUUUGCUGCUCAGGGUUUUACAGCCUUUUGAGCAGGAUGACCUUUCGAAAGCUUUUUUCUCAGCCUUUGGUAUCCAAGGGAAUUCCUCACAAAAUCCUGUUGGUGGAGUGGGGGGGGGGCAGCUGUAGAGAGUGUGUCUCCCAGCGGUCCCACUCUAGGAGUCUUUCUGCACCUGAGGCAGGAGGAGGUGGUAGAAUUAUGGACUCCACCUUCAGACUUCUGGCUGGGCAGCAGGAUGCAUGUAUCACCAUCAUUCCUCCAGAGAACUCCUUGCAUGUCACAGGUGAGCACAUCAGGAAGAAGCCCCUGGAAAAGUAAAAAGAAAGAAAGAAGCAGGGAUUUGUUGUUGUUGUUGUUAUGUAUUCAGACUGGCUGCAGUUCUCACUCUGGGCCACCAGUAUGCAAAUGAAGGAUUGAGAGUUGCUUUCACCGAUUGGGUAGUUACUUGGAAUUCGUUACUGUUACCUGAGAAUGAUAACUGAUUAUAUUAUUUGGGCAGCCUGGCGAUUCCUUUGUAAUGGUAAAUACUCAGUUCCUGAGUCCAGGUCACAGGCACGCCCUAUUAAAUGUGCCCUUAAGACAGGAUUUGUGAAAGAGACAAAGGGGAGAUUUCCCAUUUCCUUCGACCUUGCAGAUAAAUAUUUGAGGUCAUUUUGGGAGAGAGAAAACGGUUUCAGGACUUUUCUGUGGGUUUCAGACAUGCGGUUCACAUAUUUGUAUGUGUUUGCUUGGUACAUUUAUGAACAUCUAUAUAGGGACGCAGGUGGCGCUGUGGGUUAAACCACAGAGCCUAAGACUUGCCGAUCAGAAGGUCGGCGGUUCAAAUCCCCGCGACGGGGUGAGCUCCCGUUGCUCGGUCCCUGCUCCUGCCAACCUAGCAGUUCGGAAGCACGUCAAAGUGCAAGUAGAUAAAUAGGUACCGCUCCGGUGGGAAGGUAAACGGUGUUUCCGUGCGCUGCUCUGGUUUGCCAGAAGCAGCUUAGUCAUGCUGGCCACAUGACCCGGAAGCUGUGCGCCAGCUCCCUCGGCCAAUAAAGCGAGAUGAGCGCUGCAACCCCAGAGUCGGUCACGACUGAACCUAAUGGUCAGGGGUCCCUUUACCCUUUAUUUUAUAUAUAUAAGGCCUUAAAAUUCUUAUAACAAUGUGCCCAUGGAUUUUGAAUGAAGAGGUGCAAAGUGAUAAGUUCACAAAUAUCUGGGCUUGUUUCCAGUCUAGGGCUAGUUGAGGGAAAAGAGAUUACAGUGCCAUUGGGGGAGCUUUAAACAAGGAUGAACGACUAGGUGACCCUGCUCCUAUCUGCCAUUCCACACACACACACCGCAAAUGUCCCCAACCCCAUAUUAUUCUGCCAUGGUAAAAGCACAGUUGGGUGACUGCCUUAAGCAGUGUCUGAUAUAUAUAUAUCCCUUCUAUCACAUACUCCAUCAAAGUUAUCUGCUGCCAAAAUUAGAUUAGUUCUGCUUCCGAUCCUUUGGAGAAAUUUGCUGUGUUCUGCUGGAGUCACAGAAAUGUUUCUCAGGAAUGCUAAGCGCUGCGUAAAAAUCCAGCGGCUCUUGUGUAGUGCAUGCAAGCACUACCAGUCAUUGACAUCCCAAUAGAUCAGUCAGUAGAGCAUGAGUCUCUUAAUCUCAGGGUUGUGGGUUCAAGUCCCAUGUUGGGCAAAAGAUUCUUGCAUUGCAGAGGGUUGGACUAGAUGAUUCUCCUGUUCCCUUCCAGCUCUGCAAUUCUAUGAUGCAGUGAAAGAUACGCAUGCAGUUUUGCAACAAUGGCAUACUGUAUUGUGUGAUCUGUAGUAUUCAAAAUAUGGAAUCCCUGAAUCAUCAUGAGGCAAGCAGAUGCAUGAGUAUAUUUCAAGUGCACCACAAGAGUUUUAGUGGAAAAGUAAUUUAAAACAUGUGAAUGAGCUGACAUAACAAGACAAGAGAAUGUCUUGUUUUAGACAUAUUCAUGGAGGCAAGGUCCGUCCAUUAUUGUUUUCCAAUAAUUAAAUGGAGCCCCCAACUUCAGAGGCAGGAUAUCUGUGAGUCCUGGAUACAUUCUGGCAAUACAUAAUCUUAUUAAAGAUUUGAAUUAUAACAUAUUAGGGUUUCCAUGGGCAAAAAUGUAUAGUCAAACUUUUAAUAGAAGCUUUAUAUAGGGACGCGGGUGGUGCUGUGGGUUAAACCACAGAGCCUAGGACUUGCCGAUCAGAAGGUCAGCGGUUUGAAUCCCCGCGACGGGGUGAGCUCCCGUUGCUCGGUCCCUGCUCCUGCCAACCUAGCAGUUCAAAAGCACGUUUAAGUGCAAGUAGAUAAAUAGGUACCGCUCUGGCGGGAAGAUAAACGGCGUUUCCGUGAGCUGCUCUGGUUCGCUAGAAGCAGCUUAGUCAUGCUGGCCACAUGACCCGGAAACUGUACGCCGGCUCCCUCGGCCAAUAAAGCAAGAUGAGUGCCACAACCCCAGAGUCGGCCACGACUGGACCUAAUGGUCAGGGGUCCCUUUACCGUAUAUAGGGUUGCCAGAUUUCAAAAAGUAAAAACCAGGACACCCUGAAAGUUGUUGAGCUUUGACUUGCGAAAGAUCCAGGACAACGAGCCGCCUAUCAGAAAUUCCCCCUGGAUGUCAAUUCCACCUUUGAAAUCCUGGUAAUGUCCAGGAAAAUCUGGACAUAUGGCAGCCCUACUUUAUAAAAAGUUAUGGUGGGCAAGAAGGAGGAGGAGGAGGAGGAGGAGGAGGAGGAGGAGGAGGAAGUAAUUUCAGAAUUGUGCUGUUCUUUUAUUUCUUGUAUUAUAUUUUUAUUGUACAGACAAAGGACCAUAUGCCAGAGUGGCUAAAAAAAUAAUACAAAGGCCUUUAAAAAUUUUAAAAACCACACAAAUCAUGUGAGUGAAAGUGUGGACUGGAGGGAGAUCCAAUAUGACAGUGCAAGAAUAAUGUGGUGAGGCUGAUCUCCCCUGGCUAAGAUUCUUGCUCAGACAGAAACUGUGCAAUUCCUUAGGGUGAGAUAUUUAAUUAAAAUAAUAACAAUAAAGAAAUGGUGCAAUUCCUUGGUGGCUCUGUCAGCUGGCAGAUGCCAUUGUGCCCUUUCGCUUGUUUCCACAUUCCUGGGGCGUGUGGCCAUUUGGAGCAGAGUUCUGACAGGGAGUGAGAAGCAAGCUUGAUCUGUCUUACCCAACCUAGCCUGCAAUCCUAACCCCACUUACCUGGGAGUAAGCCCCAUUGAAUUCAGUAGGAUUUGCUGCUGAGUAGAUACAGUUAGCCUUGCAGCCUUGGCAAGGAAGCCUUCUUCAGUAACCAAGUUAUAUUAACCUAGGGGUGGGGAACCUCAGGUCAGGGAGCUCAAUGCGGCCCUCGAGGCCUUUCCGUCUGGCCCUUAGAACUGUCCUCAGGCCACACCAAUAAUUGUCCCUGCUUUGCAUCCAGAGUUUUUGCCUGGCUGGAGUGUGUUGCUGAACUUUGUUCAUGCCUCCUGUUUGUCUGAAUGAAAGGUGUGUGUGUGUGUGUGUGUGUGUGUGUGUGUGUGUACACAAACUACCCCAGCGUCCAAAGUUAAGAUCUGCAUUGGUUACUCUGCCUUCUUUUACCUCUUGCUGCCCACAACAGGCACAGCUCCAGUUAUUCCCUCCUUUGCGGGUUUCACUAUCUGCGUGUCAAAGGCCUGAAAGGGUCAAUUCCAAGCAAGAACAGCUGGUCCAACCUCAGCGGAGUCAAGUUUGCGAUGAGAAAAAUGCAAGUGUUUGCAUGACUGUGUAAUAUUGAUUGAGGCAGGAUGCUUUUGGGUGUCAUCAAACUGCCCUGGGAUAAACAGCAGGCAGCAGGAGAAUUUCGCAAGGUCCAUAUUCACCAAGCACAUGACAAGAUGAUGGCAGAGGUGAUCAGGUUCGCUUUGUAAGAAGAAAAGAAAAGAGUGAUGAACUUUGCUACCAGCUCCUUCGUUGUUCUUGUGAUGUCUGUUUUGGGAAAAUGCAUCAGGAAUAUCUUUUCUCCCCCCUACUCCUACGGCAAAACCAAAUCUACUCAAAGGAUCUGCCAAAGUGAAGGUAGGAGUGCAUACCUAGAGAUCAGAGCUCACUCCCCACCCACUCCUGCCCCACAUUUGCAGCUUGAGCCGCAAAGUUUGACGGACAAUCUGGUCUUUCUCCACAUGCCCCACGCUUCUCAUGACCCACAUCCC
Non-coding RNA from Podarcis lilfordi (Lilford's wall lizard), 13152 nucleotides. The record is from the annotation of a GenBank genome assembly. NCBI's taxonomy places the organism in Eukaryota, Metazoa, Chordata, Lepidosauria, Squamata, Lacertidae.